UCUCCUAUAGCUCAGUUGGUAGAGCGUGCGGCUGCUAACCUCAAGGUCGCUGGUUCAAACCCAGCUGGGAGAG
RNAcentral lists this transfer RNA (73 nucleotides) under Phytophthora infestans (potato late blight agent). It matches the Rfam family "tRNA". Rfam says of the family: Transfer RNA (tRNA) molecules are approximately 80 nucleotides in length. Their secondary structure includes four short double-helical elements and three loops (D, anti-codon, and T loops). Lineage: Eukaryota; Oomycota; Peronosporomycetes; Peronosporales; Peronosporaceae. RNAcentral also lists the same sequence under 1 other name. The record is from Rfam by way of RNAcentral.